RNAcentral lists this ribosomal RNA (420 nucleotides) under uncultured bacterium. Its description in RNAcentral is "bacterial SSU rRNA". It matches the Rfam family "Bacterial small subunit ribosomal RNA", at positions 355 to 774 of the family's 1533-position model. The record is from RNAcentral.
UAAGGAAUAUUGCUCAAUGGGAGAAAUCCUGAAGCAGCAACGCCGCGUGGAGGAUGAAGGGUCUAUGACUUGUAAACUCCUGUAAAGAAGGAAAAAAUUCCCAUUUGAUGGGAGAUGAUGGUACUUCUGGAGUAAGCCCCGGCUAACUACGUGCCAGCAGCCGCGGUAAUACGUAGGGGGCAAGCGUUGUCCGGAUUUACUGGGUGUAAAGGGUGCUCAGGCGGAUUUGUAAGUCAGAGGUGAAAUCUUACAGCUUAACCGUGAAACUGCCUUUGAUACUGCAAGCCUAGAGUAUGGAAGAGAGUGAUGGAAUAUCUGGUGUAGCAGUGAAAUGCGUAGAUAACAGAUAGAACACCAAUGGCGAAGGCAGUCACUUGGUCCAUUACUGACGCUAAAGCACGAAAGCGUGGUUAGCAAACA